AGCCGCUGGUGCGCCGCGGGGAAAAGGGGGGUCGGGCGAAACCGGAGCGGGAUCUCGGGGCGCGCGGGCUCUCGAGCCGAUGCGUGUCGGAAGCCGCCGCCGCCGCCGCCGUUGUUCUGCCCCGCUCGGUUUUAUUAGCUACAUAUUUGACCGCGUAUUUUUAUACUUCAGUCUGGGCGCUUAUUAUGCCGUGUGAAAACGCUGUUUUGGGUUUUUUUUUCCCAAAGACGGAUUAAAGCAAUUAAAUGUAAACAAAAAUAAACAGAUAAAAAGUAAAGAAUAAGCAGAAUUAAACUAUAAAGUUGAUUAAAGACGCCUUGCUCGCGCGUCYGACGACACGAACGACCUCGGCGCCUCCCGAACGGCUGCGCGGAGCAAACCGGCGGCAAAUCUGCCUCCCUCCGUGUUUUCGCCGUCCCUUUUUUCCGCCGGAGCCGCGCGUUGGCGGGGCGGCUCUUUCCGGCCAAUGGAUCGCCGCAUGGAUUUAAUGGAGUCGCGCGUUUCGCCGGUCGUCCCGUACGCCGGCGACUGGAAACUAGAAUUAGUCGGAAGGGUUUUUUUUCCCUUGUUGUUUUUUUUAUCCUUUUCCCCCAGGCGCUGCCGCGGCUCGUCCGUCCGUCCGUCGGCGCGGAGAGGUGGCCCGGCCGCGGGAAGAAACGCCGCCCGUUUCCCACGCCUCCUGCGUCCUCUUCUUUAACGACUCGCCGAGCCGCCCCGGCUGGUGGCGCGGGUAUUUUUAGACAGGCGUCUGCAGGAGCGGUGGAGAGGGAGUUGGCGCGCCGCAACGAAACCCGGCGGCGGAGGAAAAACUCGCUCGGCGGCCGAACGGCGGCCGCGUCUUUGCGAAGCGGCGGCGAGCGCUUCGUCCCCGGAGCCCUGCGCGAACCGCCGCGGUCAUUCCGGGGACGGGUUUGCGGGUUUGCAGCCCUCCCCUGGCAUUUAAGGUUUCGCUCAUCCCAAACUUCUGCCGGAGGGCUUUCCUUUUUUCCUUCUUUCCCCCCCCCCUCCAGCCACCGCAGGAGUAACAGUUUGCUAAGGAUCUCGCUAAUAACAUAUUACCCGCCCCAGAACAGGAGAGGCUACGGCGUAACUGGGAGGCGAGAGGAGCUCCCGGCGAUGCCAAAAUCCAGCCUGCGCGUGAAAUUUGAGGAUUUAGGAGCGAAGGGCAGGCGAUGA
This is a long non-coding RNA of Apteryx rowi (Okarito brown kiwi), 1176 nucleotides long. NCBI's taxonomy places the organism in Eukaryota, Metazoa, Chordata, Aves, Apterygiformes, Apterygidae. The record is from Ensembl.